AUCCAGCUGAUGAGUCCCAAACAGGAUAUAAUGUGCGUCCUGGAU
This is a non-coding RNA of Schistosoma margrebowiei, 45 nucleotides long. The record is from Rfam. NCBI's taxonomy places the organism in Eukaryota, Metazoa, Platyhelminthes, Trematoda, Strigeidida, Schistosomatidae.